This 690-nucleotide ribosomal RNA is filed under the name Bacillus sonorensis. RNAcentral's name for it is "bacterial SSU rRNA". It matches the Rfam family "Bacterial small subunit ribosomal RNA", at positions 51 to 754 of the family's 1533-position model. Lineage: Bacteria; Bacillati; Bacillota; Bacilli; Caryophanales; Bacillaceae. The record is from RNAcentral.
AUACAUGCAAGUCGAGCGGACAGAUGGGAGCUUGCUCCCUGAUGUUAGCGGCGGACGGGUGAGUAACACGUGGGUAACCUGCCUGUAAGACUGGGAUAACUCCGGGAAACCGGGGCUAAUACCGGAUGCUUGAUUGAACCGCAUGGUUCAAUUAUAAAAGGUGGCUUUUAGCUACCACUUACAGAUGGACCCGCGGCGCAUUAGCUAGUUGGGGAGGUAACGGUUCACCAAGGCAACAAUGCGUAGCCAACCUGAAAGGGGGAUCGGCCACCCUGGGACUGAAACACGGCCCAAACUCCUACGGGAGGCAGCAGUAGGGAAUCUUCCGCAUUGGACAAAAGUUUGACGGAGCACCGCCCCGGGAGUGAUGAAGGUUUUCGGAUCGUAAAAUUCUGUUGUUAGGGAAGAACAAGUACCGUUCGAUUAGGGGGGUACCUUGACGGUCCCUAACCAGAAAGCCACGGUUAACUCCUUGCCAGCAGCCGCGGUAAUACGUAGGUGGCAAGCGUUGUCCGGAUUAUUGGGCGUAAGCGCGCGCAGGCGGUUUCUAAGUCUGAUGUGAAGCCCCGGUCACCGGGAGGUCAUGGAACUGGAACUGAUGCGGAGAGGAAUGGAUUCACGUGUAGCGUGAAUGCGUAGAUGUGAGGACCAGUGCGAAGGCACUCUCUGGUCUGACUGACGCUGAGCCGA